UACAGAGGUCUCAAGCGUUGUUCGGAUUCAUUGGGCGUAAAGGGUGCGUAGGCGGCGAGGCAAGUCAGGUGUGAAAUCUCGGGGCUCAACUCCGAAACUGCACUUGAUACUGCCUUGCUAGAGUACUGGAGGGGAGAUUGGAAUUUACGGUGUAGCAGUGAAAUGCGUAGAUAUCGUAAGGAAGACCAGCGGCGAAGGCGAAUCUCUGGACAGUUACUGACGCUGAGGCACGAAGGCCAGGGGAGCAAACGGG
Molecule: ribosomal RNA, 253 nt
Filed under: uncultured bacterium
Lineage: Bacteria
Description: partial 16S ribosomal RNA
Rfam family: Bacterial small subunit ribosomal RNA
Source: RNAcentral